AAGUCGUAACAAGGUUUCCGUAGGUGAACCUGCGGAAGGAUCAUUACCUUUCCCGUCAUUUUGACUGGCUCGGGGGUUGGCUUUGCGAGGUCCCCAAAAGGACCCCUGCCUCCCUGGCUGCAUCCUUGUCUAUUGCGUACUACAUGUUUCCUCGGUGGGCUUGCCUACCGGUUGGACAACCAUUAAACUCUUUUGUAAUUGCAAUCAGCGUCUGAAAAUAAUUUUAAUUAUUACAACUUUCAACAACGGAUCUCUUGGUUCUG
RNAcentral lists this unclassified non-coding RNA (263 nucleotides) under Setophoma vernoniae. Its description in RNAcentral is "partial internal transcribed spacer region". The stretch from base 1 to 46 matches the Rfam family "Eukaryotic small subunit ribosomal RNA", at positions 1786 to 1831 of the family's 1831-position model. Lineage: Eukaryota; Fungi; Ascomycota; Dothideomycetes; Pleosporales; Phaeosphaeriaceae. The record is from RNAcentral.